This 876-nucleotide ribosomal RNA is filed under the name Diplogelasinospora moalensis. RNAcentral describes it as "eukaryotic LSU rRNA". It matches the Rfam family "Eukaryotic large subunit ribosomal RNA", at positions 45 to 955 of the family's 3401-position model. Lineage: Eukaryota; Fungi; Ascomycota; Sordariomycetes; Sordariales; Diplogelasinosporaceae. The record is from RNAcentral.
AAUAAGCGGAGGAAAAGAAACCAACAGGGAUUGCCCUAGUAACGGCGAGUGAAGCGGCAACAGCUCAAAUUUGAAAUCUGGCCUCGGCCCGAGUUGUAAUUUGUAGAGGAAGCUUUUGGCGCGGCACCUUCUGAGUCCCCUGGAACGGGGCGCCAUGGAGGGUGAGAGCCCCGUAUAGUCGGAUGCCUAGCCUUUGUAAAGCUCCUUCGACGAGUCGAGUAGUUUGGGAAUGCUGCUCAAAAUGGGAGGUAAAUUUCUUCUAAAGCUAAAUACCGGCCAGAGACCGAUAGCGCACAAGUAGAGUGAUCGAAAGAUGAAAAGCACUUUGAAAAGAGGGUCAAACAGCACGUGAAAUUGUUGAAAGGGAAGCGCUUGUGACCAGACUUGCGCCGGGCUGAUCAUCCGGUGUUCUCACCGGUGCACUCGGCCCGGCUCAGGCCAGCAUCGGUUCUCGCGGGGGGACAAAGGUCCUGGGAACGUAGCUCCUCCGGGAGUGUUAUAGCCCAGGGCGCAAUGCCCCCGCGGGGACCGAGGUUCGCGCUCUGCAAGGAUGCUGGCGUAAUGGUCACCAGCGACCCGUCUUGAAACACGGACCAAGGAGUCAAGGUUUUGCGCGAGUGUUUGGGUGUAAAACCCGCACGCGUAAUGAAAGUGAACGUGGGUGAGAGCUUCGGCGCAUCAUCGACCGAUCCUGAUGUAUUCGGAUGGAUUUGAGUAGGAGCGUUAAGCCUUGGACCCGAAAGAUGGUGAACUAUGCUUGGAUAGGGUGAAGCCAGAGGAAACUCUGGUGGAGGCUCGCAGCGGUUCUGACGUGCAAAUCGAUCGUCAAAUCUGAGCAUGGGGGCGAAAGACUAAUCGAACCAUCUAGUAGCUGGU